UACGGGGGGAGCAAGCGUUGUUCGGAUUUACUGGGCGUAAAGAGCGCGCAGGCGGUCGAUCAAGUCGGAUGUGAAAGCCCCCGGCUCAACUGGGGAGGGUCAUUCGAUACUGGUCGACUCGAAGGCAGGAGAGGGAAGCGGAAUUCCCGGUGUAGUGGUGAAAUGCGUAGAUAUCGGGAGGAACACCAGUGGCGAAGGCGGCUUCCUGGCCUGUUCUUGACGCUGAGGCGCGAAAGCUAGGGGAGCAAACGGG
This 253-nucleotide ribosomal RNA is filed under the name uncultured bacterium. RNAcentral describes it as "partial 16S ribosomal RNA". It matches the Rfam family "Bacterial small subunit ribosomal RNA", at positions 524 to 776 of the family's 1533-position model. The record is from RNAcentral.